UUGUCUCCUAGUAGGAUCAAGGUUUCCAUCUUGGCCCAUUAGCAGUUACUCUUAGCAGCUAAAUGAUGAAAAGUGGAAAUUGUCCAACUUAAAAGAGAAAUCAAAGCCACUGCACUUACAAACCUACACCAUUAAUUUUACAACCAUUACAGGCAAAUGUCAUGUCUAUCUCAGGGGUGCUUCCUGGGAGUCUGGCGACAGUUUAACUGAUGCAGCUCCACCAUGUGCAAAUGAAGACUGCCUCACAGCUCAAAGGCUACCCGACUGCUCCAGGAACCACUUUGUGGCCAGAGACAAGCAAGACGACAACCUGGAAAUCCUGUGAUUCUCUGAGGUGAGCAGGCAAUGAAAUCAGAGACGGAAUUAAGGCUGCACAUCAACUAACCUUGCUGAUUAGAGCAGAGUGGCCCUACAAAAGUCCUUAUUAGCAAAAAGAUGAGGAGAAAGAACCUGAGAGGUCAGCCUGAUCAAGCUGUCUUUGAAGAUGAAGGAAGAGGUGGAGGCUCAAAGAAAUUCAUGAAAACUGUAAGAGGCAAGGAAGUGGCUCCCUCCUGCCUCAACUCAAAGGAAAGCAGCCUCACCCACAGUCCAUUAACCUAGGAGGCUUACUUGGACUUUUGACUUCCUGAUAUUGUAACACAAUGUUUUAAACUGCUAACUUUGUGGUGCUUUGUCACAGCACCCAUAAGAAACUGAUACAUCUAAAUCCCUCCAUUGCCAACACCAACCUUAGCUUCUGGCUCAGCACAGGAGAAAAUGGGUAACCAAACGGAUUCCCAGCUGGACCUGAAUCCAUCAGACUCCUUCUACAAGGGAGCUUUCUUGCACCCAUGCUGCUUUAUGGGUGAUUUCAGACUCAGCUCUAGUAGCUGAGAACUUUGCUGGGGCAGAGGGGUGGGACAGAAGGAGGUCUGCUGCUCAACAGAGCACCACAACCAGGCACAGGGCGUUAACCUAACAGGCCAAACAUGAAACAGAGUGCCACCGGCAA
Molecule: long non-coding RNA, 991 nt
Organism: Mastomys coucha (southern multimammate mouse)
Lineage: Eukaryota; Metazoa; Chordata; Mammalia; Rodentia; Muridae
Exons: 2
Source: RefSeq, a predicted model, not a curated record